CGAACGGGUGAGUAACGCGUGAGGAACCUGCCUCAAAGAGGGGGGAAACAGUUGGAAACGACUGCUAAUACCGCAUAAGCCCACGGCUCGGCAUCGAGCAGAGGGAAAAGGAGCGAUCCGCUUUGAGAUGGCCUCGCGUCCGAUUAGCUAGUUGGUGAGGUAACGGCCCACCAAGGCGACGAUCGGUAGCCGGACUGAGAGGUUGAACGGCCACAUUGGGACUGAGACACGGCCCAG
This 237-nucleotide ribosomal RNA is filed under the name uncultured bacterium. RNAcentral's name for it is "partial 16S ribosomal RNA". It matches the Rfam family "Bacterial small subunit ribosomal RNA", at positions 99 to 334 of the family's 1533-position model. The record is from RNAcentral.